This is a long non-coding RNA of Globicephala melas (long-finned pilot whale), 233 nucleotides long. RefSeq lists it as uncharacterized. The record is from RefSeq and is a predicted model, not a curated record. Lineage: Eukaryota; Metazoa; Chordata; Mammalia; Artiodactyla; Delphinidae.
UUGGGGACUACAGCUCGCUUGGAGCUUGUUGAAGACACAAUGUGGGGAGACGAAUCAGAGAGAGCGAGAGGAAAGAGUCCACAAACGAGCAAGCUGAUCCGCUGACAGAGAAGAAGGCCACAUAGAGCAUUUCUGCCUUUGUUUUUGCCAGCUGAACAGAAUAAAACAUUAGGAUGCAAUGAUUAAAGAGGCAGAUCAAAUGUGUUUUCGUUAUUGGGCUUCUGCUGAGAAGG